GAGCACAGUGUUUAUAGCGUCCGCCUCGGAUGCUGGAGGUCGUGGGUUCGAUCCCCAUAUGAGCCA
This is a non-coding RNA of Potamilus streckersoni, 66 nucleotides long. The record is from the annotation of a GenBank genome assembly. Lineage: Eukaryota; Metazoa; Mollusca; Bivalvia; Unionida; Unionidae.